AAUCCGGUUGAUCCUGCCGGACCNCCACUGCUAUCGGGAUAGGACUAAGACAUGCUAGUUGAGCGCUUCCAGCCAAAACGGGAGCGCACGACAGCUCAGUAACACGUGGCUAAUCUGCCCUUGGGACCGGAACACCCCCGGGAAACUGGGGCUAAUUCUCGAUAGGUGAAGAACUCUGGAAUGANGUCUUUGCCAAAAAGACGUUUACGUUAUGCUCGUAGACGUCGCCCAAGGAUGAGGCCGCGACUGAUCAGGUUGUUGGCGGGGAAAAGGCCCACCAAGCCUUUAACCAGUACGGGCCAUGAUAGUGGCAGCCCGGAGAUGGGCACUGAGAUAAGGGCCCAGGCCUUACGGGGCGGCAGAGGCGCGAAAACUUCGCAAUACACGAAAGUGUGACAGGGCUAUCCCGAGUGCCAUCCGCUGAGGAAGGCUUUUACCCAGUCUAGAACGCCGGGGGAAUAAGCGGGGGG
RNAcentral lists this ribosomal RNA (470 nucleotides) under uncultured crenarchaeote. RNAcentral's name for it is "bacterial SSU rRNA". It matches the Rfam family "Archaeal small subunit ribosomal RNA", at positions 1 to 446 of the family's 1478-position model. The record is from RNAcentral. Lineage: Archaea; Thermoproteati; Thermoproteota.